RNAcentral lists this ribosomal RNA (820 nucleotides) under Tortella flavovirens var. glareicola. Its description in RNAcentral is "eukaryotic LSU rRNA". The stretch from base 337 to 489 matches the Rfam family "5.8S ribosomal RNA". The record is from RNAcentral. Lineage: Eukaryota; Viridiplantae; Streptophyta; Bryopsida; Pottiales; Pottiaceae.
GAUCAUUGCACACACAAAGUUGCAGCAAACCCCCUUUGCGAAUUUCAUGAAUGUCCCCCUUGUGUUUUGGGGGGCUGGGGCAUCGUCGUCACUAUUCUUGUGGUGGUGGUGGCGGCGUCCCGGCCUGCCGAACACAUCCAAGUUCCCCCCAUACAAUGGGGGAGGCUUGGGGCUCCUCCCUAAACCGGGUAGGCGGCCCCUUGUCCCCCCCUGGGAGGGACUUGGUAACCAACCGAUUGCGCAAUGCAUCAACACUUUCAAUAUGACUGAGUAUAAAAAUCGGGACACUGCCGCUUGCAAAGGCGGUGGCGUCCCCGAGUUGUGAUAAACAAAAACAACUCUCAGCAACGGAUAUCUUGGCUCUUGCAACGAUGAAGAACGCAGCGAAAUGCGAUACGUAGUGUGAAUUGCAGAAUUCCGCGAAUCAUCGAGUCUUUGAACGCAAGUUGCGCCCGAGGCUUGACCAAGGGCAUCUCUGCCAGAGCGUCACCGCGACACCCACCAAUCCACUCUAAGUGGAUUGAGUGAAACUGGCCAUCCGAAUGUGGCCGCCCGGAGGGGGAAAGGGAAACCUUCCUUCCUGGGUGGCAGAUUGGGUUGGCUGAAAUGGAGGGGAAUUUGGCCGCCGUGGUGACACAGCCCGCGAUCAGGUGAUCCAGGCUCCCCCACUUGCAAAGGUGGUGGGUGUCCUGGAACUCAAAUGUGCGUUGGUUGUGCUCCUACCCAGUCAGGAAUUCCAAAGCAGGUCCCUCGCGACACUCGGUCCCUUCUAGUGACUUAGUCACCAAGGAGGGGCUGGGUGGACAGUGAGGAAAGCGUC